This 492-nucleotide ribosomal RNA is filed under the name uncultured bacterium. RNAcentral's name for it is "partial 16S ribosomal RNA". It matches the Rfam family "Bacterial small subunit ribosomal RNA", at positions 29 to 507 of the family's 1533-position model. The record is from RNAcentral.
AGUGAACGCUGGCGGUAGGCCUAACACAUGCAAGUCGAACGGCAGCACAGUAAGAGCUUGCUCUUACGGGUGGCGAGUGGCGGACGGGUGAGGAAUACAUCGGAAUCUACUUUUUCGUGGGGGAUAACGUGGGGAAACUUACGCUAAUACCGCAUACGACCUACGGGUGAAAGCAGGGGAUCUUCGGACCUUGCGCGAUUGAAUGAGCCGAUGUCGGAUUAGCUAGUUGGCGGGGUAAAGGCCCACCAAGGCGACGAUCCGUAGCUGGUCUGAGAGGAUGAUCAGCCACACUGGAACUGAGACACGGUCCAGACUCCUACGGGAGGCAGCAGUGGGGAAUAUUGGACAAUGGGCGCAAGCCUGAUCCAGCCAUGCCGCGUGGGUGAAGAAGGCCUUCGGAUUGUAAAGCCCUUUUGUUGGGAAAGAAAAGCAGCAGGUUAAUACCCCGCUGUUCUGACGGUACCCAAAGAAUAAGCACCGGCUAACUUCGUG